UAGAAUUGUUAUCUUUUCCUCACCUUCUCUCUCUUUACGUUACUCCCCCCUUCACUGUAAGAAUUGCACAGCUCUCAUACUCCCUCUGUUCAGCCACCACGCCUCCACCGUGACAGCUUCGACCACUCCACCGUGAAACAUGUAGUAUCCAUCACCAAUCCAAGCUCUCAAUUUCCUCCUAGUUUUUCUCUAUUUUAGAGCUGAGGUUGCAAACCCAUCUCCAUUUAGCUUAGCAAAUUAGUUGAAAUUAGAGGUGAACCGAGUGCAAGCACAAGCGAUAGGAGAAAGGGGCACAUCCAUGGUUGACUAAACAAGUAAUAGAGUUUUUGUGACGUGUACAGGUAGUAUACGCGGGUUCUAGAGUUUAAUCUCUUUAACUUCGAGACAUAUUGCUACAUUUUUAUAUGUUUUAUCUGCUUGCGCAAUAGAGAUUAAAUAUGGUUGUGUGAAUGGUAUAACUCAAUGACAUAAAUGAGAUAUGGAAAGGUAAGAUGUGAGAAUUAUGUUUUAAAAUUGUGAAUUGGUGUGAUAUAUGAUAUGCAAAGUGAUUUAAGUA
Molecule: long non-coding RNA, 556 nt
Organism: Salvia hispanica
Lineage: Eukaryota; Viridiplantae; Streptophyta; Magnoliopsida; Lamiales; Lamiaceae
Source: RefSeq, a predicted model, not a curated record